Long non-coding RNA from Perca fluviatilis (European perch), 855 nucleotides. RefSeq lists it as uncharacterized. The record is from RefSeq and is a predicted model, not a curated record. Lineage: Eukaryota; Metazoa; Chordata; Actinopteri; Perciformes; Percidae. The transcript has 3 exons.
CCCACACAGCAGUCUCCUUCCUUCGGGUUAGGCAAUAAUCAUCCGGGGAACUGUCCACUCGCCGUAGCCGAAUACACAAACACACACACGGUUCCUGUGUCCCGUUGCUAACUUACAGCUAGCUUAUGCUAACGUCUGUACACUUGCUACUUUGGCUGUUUGGGGGCGAACAAACAAACGACCCCCCGCGGUCACAUUCACCGGAAUGAUGCUAGGAGAAAAGUAGGCAUCGCUGUGAGAAGGAAUAUGGCGUUUGAUAUCGGUUUUGUUUGUGUUUCUGCAAAUAGACGGUUGCAGGUGGACUGGUGUUUACAUGGUCCGUGGGAGCUGGAAUUCCACAGCUGUGUGGCGGCUGCAGUGCUUUUAUGUGUCUCCUAGCUACAGAUCUGCAGCCUCAAUGGAUGUCAUCUGGGAAGAAGAAGAGGAGCCUUGUAGAGACCAGCUGAAGGGACGUCUUCUCUGAGCUGAAGCUCUGAGAUGAGUGCAGAGUUUCCGGACCACAACGGAGAAGUUCCUUCACUCCAUUCAUGCCGCCUUCUCUCCGUACUCACUGUAUACUCAUAGUAUUGUAUGUCAUGAAAUAAUUUAAAGUAAAGUAAGUAAUAGUACGUAUAAUGUAAAAAAAAGCUCAGAAAAGUCAUACAUAAUGUCAAAAAGUGUUAUUACAUAGUUAUUACAUUGUUAUAACAUGUAUUAGGUCAAAAAUCUAUCAAAAAGUCACAGAAAGUGUUAUUACAUAGUUAUUACAUUGUUAUAACAUGUAUUAGGACAAAAAUCUAUCAAAAAGUCACAGAAAGUGUUAUUACAUAGUUAUGACAUUGUUAUAACAUGUAUUAUGACAAGAAUCUAUCAAAA